GGGAAUAUGGCUUAGUGGUAGAGUGCUUGCUUAGCAUGCAUGAAGUCUUGGGUUUGAUUCCUCAAUACCA
Molecule: transfer RNA, 70 nt
Filed under: Dipodomys ordii (Ord's kangaroo rat)
Lineage: Eukaryota; Metazoa; Chordata; Mammalia; Rodentia; Heteromyidae
Rfam family: tRNA
About the family: Transfer RNA (tRNA) molecules are approximately 80 nucleotides in length. Their secondary structure includes four short double-helical elements and three loops (D, anti-codon, and T loops).
Source: Rfam by way of RNAcentral